This 136-nucleotide ribosomal RNA is filed under the name uncultured Trebouxiophyceae. RNAcentral describes it as "partial small subunit ribosomal RNA". It matches the Rfam family "Eukaryotic small subunit ribosomal RNA", at positions 1670 to 1804 of the family's 1831-position model. The record is from RNAcentral. Lineage: Eukaryota; Viridiplantae; Chlorophyta; Trebouxiophyceae.
CGCCCGUCGCUCCUACCGAUUGGGUGUGCUGGUGAAGUGUUCGGAUUGGCGACCGGGGGCGGUUUCCGCCCUCGGCCGCCGAGAAGUUCAUUAAACCCUCCCACCUAGAGGAAGUACAAGUCGUAACAAGGUUUCC